GCGGUAGCAAAGCUUGUGUGUGCUGCUGAUGAGGCUGCUCGCUCGGGACCCAACGGUUGCAUGCCUCUGCCCGGCCGAGAAGUGAGGCCGGCGGCUGCUAGGAGGCAGUGGCGGCGAAGGAGGGGAAGGGCAGCCGGAGACAGACCGGGCGCCGCCCUCGGAGGCUGGAGAGACCUGGCUUCGUGGGGGUCGCAGCUCGGCCGCAGGCGGGAAUCAUGGCAUCGCUGGUCGACCGAGUGCGGGGCAACGGGCGCAUCGUCGCCGGGCUCCUGCUCAAUCUGCUGGUGUCCAUCUGCAUCGUGUUCCUCAACAAAUGGAUCUAUGUGCACCACGGAUUCCCCAACAUGAGCCUGACCCUGGUGCACUUCGUGGUCACUUGGCUGGGCUUGUAUAUCUGCCAGAAGCUGAACAUCUUUGCCCCCAAGAGUCUGCCACCCUCCAAGCUCCUCCUCCUGGCCCUCAGCUUCUGUGGCUUCGUGGUCUUCACCAACCUCUCUUUGCAGAACAACACUAUAGGCACCUAUCAGCUGGCCAAGGCCAUGACCACGCCGGUGAUCAUAGCCAUCCAGACCCUCUGGUACAAGAAAACCUUCUCCACCAGAAUACAGCUUACGUUGAUUCCUAUAACUUCAGGUGUAAUCCUAAAUUCUUAUUACGAUGUGAAGUUUAAUUUCCUUGGAAUGGUGUUUGCUGCUCUUGGUGUUUUAGUUACAUCGCUUUAUCAAGUGUGGGUAGGAGCCAAACAGCAUGAAUUGCAAGUAAACUCAAUGCAGCUGCUGUACUACCAGGCACCUAUGUCGUCCGCCAUGUUGCUGUUGGCUGUGCCCUUCUUUGAGCCAGUGUUUGGAGAAGGAGGAAUAUUUGGUCCCUGGUCAAUUUCUGCUUUGGUUAUGGUGCUGCUAUCUGGAGUAAUAGCUUUCAUGGUGAACUUAUCGAUUUACUGGAUCAUUGGGAACACUUCACCAGUCACGUAUCCUUUCCAUAAUCACUUACAAAUGCAUAGUCUUUUAUGUUUUCCAAAAUAGUCACAUUCACUACGUUAUUCUAGCCUCACAUUAACUACAGCAUGGCCUAAUUGAGUACAGAGGGUUAUUUUUAGUCUUUUAUUAUGUCUUUCCACAGUAAAGUCCGGAAAUUUACAGAAGUAUGAACUGGGGAAAUGGGCUAGCUUUCUGUACCAUGAAUGUUUUUUAAUUUUUUUAAAUAAUAGAUCACUUUUUUCUUAUAAACAUUAACAUAGAGCUCCAUUCCUUGCACAUAGUAGGGCCAAACAAGUAUUUGUUCAAUGAGUAAAUGAAUGGUGGGAUGGAGGGUUGGGUUUUCAGUUAUCUACAGUGAUAAAGUAGAAGUAUCAUUAAUUCACAUUACAAAAGAUAGUUUCAAACCAUUGGCAUCUGACUCUGGAGUAUGUUUUCGUACUUAUCUGGAGAUGGGUGUGCCUGUUUUUCUGAAUGUUAGUUUAAGAAAAUAAAUCAUACUUGAAGGUCUAAGUCCAACUCAUCUGCCCAUUUCCACCCUUCUGCUGUCAUUCAGUUUCUUGUAGUAUUUCACUCUGCCACCACUCUUAGGCGGAUACAAAGAAUGAAUUUCCCCAGAUCAGAGAGGUAGUUUACUAACAUUAUAUCAGAAUGUGCCAAUUUUUAUAAAAGAUUGAGUACUGAGAUGUCAACAAAUAAGCGGUAUUAGUUGCCAGAUACCAAGAAACAGCAACAACAAUGCAGCUGUGUGAGGUGAAUUCUGUCAUUUUUUUUACGGAGGAGGAAAUGGAGACAGAGAGAGAUUGAACAGCUCACCUGAGGUCACACCGUUGAGAAGUGUGGUGUCCAGAUUUGAGCCCAGGCCGUCCAGUUCCAGAACUUGUACAGCACACUGCCAGAUCAAGGCAUGCAAGGAUGUGCCUCGAUUAAGAAUACAUUCAUUCAUUCAUUCAGCAAAUAUUUUUUAAAUACCCACUAUAAACCAUUUAAGGAGCCCUGGUGGCACAGUGGUCAAGCUUUCAGCUGCUAACUGAUAGGUCAGCGGUUCAAACCCACCAGCCGCUCUGUGGGAGAAAGAUGUGGCAAUCUGCUUCCAUAAAGAUUUAUAACCUUUGAAACCCUAUGAUGCACUUCUGCUCUGGCUAUGAGUAGGGUUGCUAUGAGUAGGAAUCAAACCGAUGGCAGUGGGUUUUUUGGUUGUAAAUUAUUAAUUGAUUUAAUAAAUAUUUAUUUACUGAACAUCUGCUAUAUGUCAGGCAUUUCAGGCACAGUAGACAACCAAAUACACGCAAGUCUUUGUACUCACAGGCUUAAAUUCUGGUAAGGAAGACAGACUACAAGUGGGGGAAGGGGAUGUAUGUAUAAAACAUUAGAUAGUGGUAAGUGCCAAAGAGAAAAAAUAAAGCAGUGAGGGGAUAUGAACUGUUGAGGGCAGGGUUGAAGUUUUAGUUCAGGUAGCCAGGAAGUUCUCACUGAGAAGGUGACUUUUGAGUAAAGAUCCGAAGGAAGUAAGGUUGCUACAUGCCAGACAGAGGGAACAGCAGGUGAGACGCCCUGGGGAACAAGGAAGCCUGUGCAGGGUGAGCAAAGGGGGGUCUCUGAGAGGUAACAGGGAGACAGAUUGAGUAGGGUUCUUAUAUGAGGUCUGUUACUCUGAGUGAGAUGGGAAGCCAUUGGAGUUUCGAGCAGAGAAGUGACAUGAUUUUACUUCUGUUUUAAUAGGAUCACCCUGGCUACUGUGUUGAGAAUACACCAAAGCAGGGUUUUUCAACCUCAGCACUGUUGACUUUUUGGGCUGGACAGUCUUUCUUGUGAAGGCCUGUCUUGUGUAUUGUAAGAUGUGUAGCAGCAUCCCUGGCCUCUACCCACAAGAUGCCAGUAGCUCCCUCUUUCCCCCUUCAUAGUAACCAAAAAUGUCUACAUUGCCUAGGGGGUAAAAUCAUCCUUUAUUGAGAACCAUUGGACUAAAAGAGGCAAGGGAAGAAGAGUGACAAUUACAAGGCUAUUGUAGUAUUCUAAUGGAGAAAAAAAUGGUGGUUACCUGUGCGGUAGCAGUGGAUAUAAGGAGCCCUAGUGGUGCAAUGGUUAAGCACUAGGCUGCUGACCGAGAAGUCAACAGUUUGAGCUCACCAGCAGCUCCAUGGGAGAAAGCUCGGGCGAUCCGCUUUUACAAAGAUUACAGUCUAGGAAACCCUAUGGAGCAGUUCUACUCUGUCCUGUAGGGUCGCUGUGAGUUGGAAUUGACUCGAUGGCACCUAACAACAACAGCGGUGGGUAUACUCCGAAGUGAUUGGAUUCUGGAUAUAUUUCAAGUAGAGUCACAAAUUGGAUGUGGAGAAUGAGAGGAGACGUGUUUACAAGAAUUUUGGCCUGAGCACCUGGUGGAAUGGAGUUGCCAUCCACUGAGAUAGGGCAGACUGAAGGAGGUUUGGUGCAGGGGAACAAGGCCAGGGGCUCAGUUUUGGACAUGUUAAGUAUGAGUGGUCUGUUUGACAUUUAGGUGGGGGUGUGAGGAGUCACUUAGGAUAAACAAGUCUGGGAGUUCAGGGGGUGGAAAUAUUCCAGAGGGAGUCAGUAGUGGUUUACAGCAGUGAGACUCAGAUUACCAAGCAAGUAAGUAGAAGAAAAGAUAUCCAAAGAUUGAAUCCUGGGUUACUUCACUGGUUAGAGUUCAGAGAGAUGAGGAGGAACUAGGCAGAAGACUAAGGGGAACAAUCAGAGGUAGAAGAAGAGUGGUGGUGAAACCAAGUGACGAAAGUGUUUCAGAGGGGAAGGUGUAAUCAACUGUCAAAUGCCUCUGACAGGUCAAGUACAAGGAUGACUGAUAAUCAAUGCUGAGAUUUAGUAAAGUGGAAGUCACUGAUGAUUUUGACAAGAACAGUCCUGGGGGUAGGAAGCAAAAGCCUAACUAGAACGGAGUGGAGAACUACAGGAGAGGAAUUGGAAAUACCAAGUGCGCCCAUGGGCUGCUUAGCUGCCCAGCUCAGAACAGAGGAAAGACCUGGGCUUUGCAGUCAGACAGAUCCAGGUGUGAAUUCCCAUCUCUGACAGUACUUGUGGGCCUGAGCAAGUCAUGGGAGCUCUCGGGUCACUCAGGAUCACUUAUAAUAUGAAGAAAAUAAUACCUACCAUGCUGGGCUUUUGUGAGGAUUUGAAAGAAUACAUGUCAAGCACCUUAAAAGACCAAUGAAACCAAACCUGUUGCCGUUGAGUUGAUUCCAACUCCUAGUGACCCUAAGGGAUAGAGUAGAACUGCCCCACAGGGCUUCCAAGACUGUGAUCUUUACGAAA
RNA transcript from Trichechus manatus latirostris (Florida manatee), 4268 nucleotides. It is a transcript of the gene named solute carrier family 35 member E3, with no coding region annotated. NCBI's taxonomy places the organism in Eukaryota, Metazoa, Chordata, Mammalia, Sirenia, Trichechidae. The transcript has 5 exons. The record is from RefSeq and is a predicted model, not a curated record.